Molecule: ribosomal RNA, 485 nt
Filed under: Salmonella enterica
Lineage: Bacteria; Pseudomonadati; Pseudomonadota; Gammaproteobacteria; Enterobacterales; Enterobacteriaceae
Also listed under: 4 other names
Description: bacterial LSU rRNA
Rfam family: Bacterial large subunit ribosomal RNA
Source: RNAcentral
AGACCCGAAACCCGGUGAUCUAGCCAUGGGCAGGUUGAAGGUUGGGUAACACUAACUGGAGGACCGAACCGACUAAUGUUGAAAAAUUAGCGGAUGACCUGUGGCUGGGGGUGAAAGGCCAAUCAAACCGGGAGAUAGCUGGUUCUCCCCGAAAGCUAUUUAGGUAGCGCCUCGUGAAUUCAUCUCCGGGGGUAGAGCACUGUUUCGGCUAGGGGGUCAUCCCGACUUACCAACCCGAUGCAAACUGCGAAUACCGGAGAAUGUUAUCACGGGAGACACACGGCGGGUGCUAACGUCCGUCGUGAAGAGGGAAACAACCCAGACCGCCAGCUAAGGUCCCAAAGUCAUGGUUAAGUGGGAAACGAUGUGGGAAGGCCCAGACAGCCAGGAUGUUGGCUUAGAAGCAGCCAUCAUUUAAAGAAAGCGUAAUAGCUCACUGGUCGAGUCGGCCUGCGCGGAAGAUGUAACGGGGCUAAACCAUGCAC